RNAcentral lists this long non-coding RNA (243 nucleotides) under Lathyrus oleraceus (garden pea). Its description in RNAcentral is "Pisum sativum (pea) long non-coding RNA (PSAT_LNC012929)". The record is from RNAcentral. Lineage: Eukaryota; Viridiplantae; Streptophyta; Magnoliopsida; Fabales; Fabaceae.
ACUGGUUGAUCACCUCCUUCAUGAAUCCUCAUAUGAAAAAGUCAAAUGCCAUUCUUUAACCUCUCCACGUCUAUCAGACCUCUCCCAAAGAUAUUCUGACCUUCCAAGUGAGACUUGAACUUCAAGCUACAUGUUGACCAAAACUUAGAUUUUCUAAGACAUGAACAUGUAACAUCCUUUCUGUCCAGCAACUCCAAGAACUGCAACGAGAACGACCUUUUUGAAGUAUCCAAUCUACAACCC